CACCACUCAAGCCUCGCUUGGUCUUGGGCGCCGCGGUUCUGCCGCGCGCCCCAAUGUCUCCGGCUGAGCCGUCCGUCUCUAAGCGUUGUGAUACACUGUUCGCUUGCGAGGCUGGGCCGGCUUGUUCGCCGUUAAACCCCCCAUUUUUUCA
Molecule: unclassified non-coding RNA, 151 nt
Filed under: uncultured Teratosphaeriaceae
Lineage: Eukaryota; Fungi; Ascomycota; Dothideomycetes; Mycosphaerellales; Teratosphaeriaceae
Description: sequence contains ITS2
Source: RNAcentral